AUGAAUGUUCCACAUCUUCCCUUUUCAUGUGAAUUUAAUGAUAAUGAAACCUUGGCUUCUUAUGGUAAUGGUAUAUAUGAUUAUUAUGAUGUAGAACGAAUAGAAGAAUUUGUUGCUUUUAAGGGCGCUUAUGAAGUUGCAUCUUUGUUUGAAAAAUAUGAAGCUUUUGAUGAUGAUGUUUAUAGACCUGAAAAUUUUGCCAUCCUUAAAUAUUGCUAUGAUAAUUAUAAAUACAAUUCCGAUAUCGAUGAAUUUAUUGAGAAAGUCUCCGCUGUCCAAGAAGAGACUUAUAUUUUGCAGGAGUCUAUGGAAGAAGAAAUUGAUGAAACUGUGAGCUCAUUGGAUGAAAAAUAUGAUGAGGAGAGCGAAGAACAAAAGGAGGAAGAUCGGAUUAGCUACCCGUGCCCAGCUUCUAAUGAGAGUAACUCUUCAACUCAUACAUUAUUUAAUUUCCCUUCGUGCUUACCGAAGGAUGAUUGCCAUGAUAAUUGUUAUGAUCCCGUUGACUCAUUUGAAAUAUCCCUUUUUGAUGAACUUGAUGCUUGCUAUGCUUGUGGCCAAGAUGCCAAUAUGAAUUAUGCUUAUGGAGAUGAACUUGUUAUAGUUCCUUAUGUUAAGAAUGAAAUUGUUGCUAUUGCACCCACACAUGAUAGUCCUAUUAUCUUUUUGAAUUCUCCCAACUACACUAUAUCGGAGAAGUUUGCUCUUGUUAAGGAUUAUGUUGAUGGGCUGCAUUUUGCUACUACACAUGAUGAUUUUGAUGAAUAUAAUAUGCAUGUGCUUGCUGCUCCUACUUGCAAUUAUUAUGAGAGAGGAACUAUAUCUCCACCUCUCUAUGUUUCCAACACACACAAAAUUGCAAGAAACUGCUUAUGCUAUGUAUUGGCCUUUACUUGA
Molecule: ribosomal RNA, 897 nt
Filed under: Triticum aestivum (bread wheat)
Lineage: Eukaryota; Viridiplantae; Streptophyta; Magnoliopsida; Poales; Poaceae
Description: partial small subunit ribosomal RNA
Source: RNAcentral